RNAcentral lists this ribosomal RNA (305 nucleotides) under uncultured bacterium. RNAcentral's name for it is "bacterial SSU rRNA". It matches the Rfam family "Bacterial small subunit ribosomal RNA", at positions 338 to 657 of the family's 1533-position model. The record is from RNAcentral.
CCUACGGGAGGCAGCAGUGGGGAAUAUUGGGCAAUGGGCGCAAGCCUGACCCAGCAACGCCGCGUGAAGGAAGAAGGCUUUCGGGUUGUAAACUUCUUUUCUCAGGGACGAAGCAAGUGACGGUACCUGAGGAAUAAGCCACGGCUAACUACGUGCCAGCAGCCGCGGUAAUACGUAGGUGGCAAGCGUUAUCCGGAUUUACUGGGUGUAAAGGGAGCGUAGACGGAAUUGCAAGUCUGAUGUGAAAAUCCGGGGCUCAACCCCGGAACUGCAUUGGAAACUGUAUUUCUAGAGUGUCGGCGAGG